AUGACCCCAGGUCAGUCGGGACUACC
Molecule: ribosomal RNA, 26 nt
Filed under: Sporobolus fertilis
Lineage: Eukaryota; Viridiplantae; Streptophyta; Magnoliopsida; Poales; Poaceae
Also listed under: 1 other name
Description: partial 28S ribosomal RNA
Source: RNAcentral